This 493-nucleotide ribosomal RNA is filed under the name Cronobacter sakazakii. RNAcentral describes it as "bacterial SSU rRNA". It matches the Rfam family "Bacterial small subunit ribosomal RNA", at positions 1049 to 1533 of the family's 1533-position model. The record is from RNAcentral. Lineage: Bacteria; Pseudomonadati; Pseudomonadota; Gammaproteobacteria; Enterobacterales; Enterobacteriaceae.
CUGUCGUCAGCUCGUGUUGUGAAAUGUUGGGUUAAGUCCCGCAACGAGCGCAACCCUUAUCCUUUGUUGCCAGCGGUCCGGCCGGGAACUCAAAGGAGACUGCCGGUGAUAAACCGGAGGAAGGUGGGGAUGACGUCAAGUCAUCAUGGCCCUUACGACCAGGGCUACACACGUGCUACAAUGGCGCAUACAAAGAGAAGCGACCUCGCGAGAGCAAGCGGACCUCAUAAAGUGCGUCGUAGUCCGGAUUGGAGUCUGCAACUCGACUCCAUGAAGUCGGAAUCGCUAGUAAUCGUGGAUCAGAAUGCCACGGUGAAUACGUUCCCGGGCCUUGUACACACCGCCCGUCACACCAUGGGAGUGGGUUGCAAAAGAAGUAGGUAGCUUAACCUUCGGGAGGGCGCUUACCACUUUGUGAUUCAUGACUGGGGUGAAGUCGUAACAAGGUAACCGUAGGGGAACCUGCGGUUGGAUCACCUCCUUACCUGAAAGA